Molecule: ribosomal RNA, 502 nt
Filed under: uncultured bacterium
Lineage: Bacteria
Description: bacterial SSU rRNA
Rfam family: Bacterial small subunit ribosomal RNA
Source: RNAcentral
AGAGUUUGAUCAUGGCUCAGAUUGAACGCUGGCGGAAUGCUUUACACAUGCAAGUCGAACGGCAGCGACGGGGCAACCUGGUGGCGAGUGGCGAACGGUGAGUAAUACAUCGGAACGUGCCCAAUCGUGGGGGAUAACGUAGCGAAAGUUACGCUAAUACCGCAUACGAUCUACGGAUGAAAGCGGGGGAUCGCAAGACCUCGCGCGAAUGGAGCGGCCGAUGUCAGAUUAGGUAGUUGGUGGGGUAAAGGCUCACCAAGCCAACGAUCUGUAGCUGGUCUGAGAGGACGACCAGCCACACUGGAACUGAGACACGGUCCAGACUCCUACGGGAGGCAGCAGUGGGGAAUUUUGGACAAUGGGCGCAAGCCUGAUCCAGCCAUUCCGCGUGCAGGAUGAAGGCCUUCGGGUUGUAAACUGCUUUUGUACGGAACGAAACGGCGAGCUCUAAUACAGUUUGCUAAUGACGGUACCGUAAGAAUAAGCACCGGCUAACUACGUG